Molecule: ribosomal RNA, 499 nt
Filed under: uncultured bacterium
Lineage: Bacteria
Description: partial 16S ribosomal RNA
Rfam family: Bacterial small subunit ribosomal RNA
Source: RNAcentral
GACGAACGCUGGCGGCGUGCCUAAUACAUGCAAGUCGAGCGAAGUUUUUCUGGUGCUUGCACCGGAAAAACUUAGCGGCGAACGGGUGAGUAACACGUAAAGAACCUGCCUUAUAGACUGGGACAACUAUUGGAAACGAUAGCUAAUACCGGAUAACAGCAUUAACUGCAUGGUUGAUGUUUGAAAGUUGGUUUUGCUAACACUAUGAGAUGGCUUUGCGGUGCAUUAGCUAGUUGGUGGGGUAAAGGCCUACCAAGGCGACGAUGCAUAGCCGACCUGAGAGGGUGAUCGGACACACUGGGACUGAGACACGGCCCAGACUCCUGCGGGGGGCAGCAGUAGGGAAUCUUCCGCAAUGGGCGAAAGCCUGACGGAGCAACGCCGCGUGAGUGAAGAAGGAUUUCGGUUCGUAAAGCUCUGUUGUUAGGGAAGAAUGAUUGUGUAGUAACUAUACACAGUAGAGACGGUACCUAACCAGAAAGCCACGGCUAACUACGUG